This 485-nucleotide ribosomal RNA is filed under the name uncultured bacterium. RNAcentral describes it as "partial 16S ribosomal RNA". It matches the Rfam family "Bacterial small subunit ribosomal RNA", at positions 899 to 1397 of the family's 1533-position model. The record is from RNAcentral.
ACUCAAAUGAAUUGACGGGGACCCGCACAAGCAGAGGAGGAUGUGGUUUAAUAUGACGAUACGCGUAGAACCUUACCAAGGCUUGACAUCCCUGGAACCCACUGGAAACAGAGGGGUGCCUUCGGGAGCCAGGUGACAGGUGCUGCAUGGCCGUCGUCAGCUCGUGUCGUGAGAUGUUGGGUUAAGUCCCGCAACGAGCGCAACCCUUAUCGUAUGUUGGAUUUUUCAUGCGAGACUGCCCGGGCCAACCGGGAGGAAGGUGGGGAUGACGUCAGGUCGGCAUGGCCCUUACGCCUUGGGCUACACACGUCCUACAAUGGCCAGUACAACGCGUCGCGAAACCGCGAGGUGGAGCUAAUCGCAUCAAAACUGGUCUCAGUUCGGAUUGGAGGCUGCAACUCGCCUCCAUGAAGUCGGAUUUGCUAGUAAACGUAGGUCAGCACACUACGUUGAAUACGUUCCCGGGUCUUGUACACACCGCCCGU